GAUUAUUUUUGAAAUUAGAAAAAGAAUUGAAUUGGACAGUGACACUCCACUCUGCCUCAAGUUGAAGUCGGACAGUAGUCUUGUAAAAAGCAUUCCAUUGGAAAUCGGCAUGAAUUCCCUCCUCAAAAUCCCAAAGCCUUUUUUCUCUACUCUCCCCUCUCUUUCUCUUCACCGAUUCUCCACUUCACUUACAGACUCUUCGAACAACAAGAAAACAGACGAUGCUUCGAUGCUCCAAAACCCUACCUUCAUUCACCCCUCAGCUAUUGUUCAUCCAAAUGCCCUUAUUGGCCAGGGAGUUGCAGUCGGUCCUUUCUGCACCAUUGGAUCAAAUGCUAAAUUGGGGAACGGUUGUCAGUUGUAUACUAAUAGCCAUGUUUUUGGUAAUUCGGAAUUAGGAGAGCGUUGUAUUUUGAUGACUGGUGCUGUGGUUGGUGAUAAUCUUCCUGGCCGUACUAAAUUAGGAGAUAAUAAUGUUAUUGGUUAUCAUGCUGUGGUUGGUGUUAAAUGUCAAGAUUUGAAAUACAAGCCCUGGGAUGAAUGUUUUCUUGAAAUUGGGGAUAACAAUGAUAUCAGAGAGCAUGCUUCAAUUCACAGGUCUUCGAAGUCAAGUGAUCAAACGAUUAUCGGAAAUAACAAUCUUAUUAUGGGGUCUUGUCAUAUUGCCCAUGAUUGCCACAUUGGCAACAAUAACAUUUUUGCUAAUAACACUCUUCUAGCUGGCCAUGUUAUUGUGGAAGACUAUACUCACACUGCUGGUGGUAUUGUCGUUCAUCAAUUUUGCCAUAUUGGUUCAUUUUCUUUCAUUGGUGGAGGAUCCGUGGUUACGCAAGAUGUCCCUAAAUAUGCAAUGGUGGCUGGUGAAAGAGCUGAGCUUCGUGGUCUGAAUUUGGAGGGUCUUCGGCGAAAUGGAUUCACAGCCACACAGACACUGAUACCUUGAUAAAUGGACUUGGGUGGAGCUAGCUCAAAAGAAGAGGGUGUCCAAUCCAUAUAUAUACAUCAUAAUAGUUCAAUAACUAGGCGAUAUGGGAUAAAUACGACUUCAGACAGCCAUCAUUGUAAAAUUCCAAACAUCUUUAAUUUAGUUAUGGAAGUACUUAUGCCCUGUUAUGAACUGAAUGAUUGCUGCAGUAUAAAUUUUAAUGACAUAUAUAGAAUAAUCUCCAGUUGCUAAUUAGGACAGCUGAGCAUAGUGAAUUGUAAAUAAUGGUAUGUUUUGGUUGCAAUAGUUGAGUUCCAUCCCUUCUUUAAUCUCUUUAAUAUUGACAUGCAUUUGAGAAAUUUAAACUCUGGCUAAAAUGGAGGUCUGUGUUUAAAAAUAAUUAUGUCCACCUCUGGUUUGUUGGUUUUGGAUGUAUCAGCUGAUUUUUGAAAUAUUUUCAUCUUAAUGCAAAAUUAAUGAAGACGCCGGUGAAUUUGUGAUUCUCGAUCACCCUGAUAUGCCUUGUUAUCAUUUUUCUUCACCUCUUUAAUGCUUACCAGAUUUUUAAUAUUUUUAUCGUCCUUUCUUGCCCCAAAUGACCUGCAUAUAUUCUUGGGCAAGGAUCUAGAUUAGGAGUCUGAGAGCGGCUUACAGAAAGAUAUUCAUGCCUGCCGAUGCUAAUUCUAAGGGUUUUGAAGAGCGUCUUACUGAAGUGGAGCAGGAUACAGAAUUGGGUAAGGUUCCUGUUGUAUGUUCCAUGGUGCAGUCCCUUCGUGA
Molecule: RNA transcript, 1702 nt
Organism: Ricinus communis (castor bean)
Lineage: Eukaryota; Viridiplantae; Streptophyta; Magnoliopsida; Malpighiales; Euphorbiaceae
Gene name: probable acyl-[acyl-carrier-protein]--UDP-N-acetylglucosamine O-acyltransferase, mitochondrial
Exons: 10
Source: RefSeq, a predicted model, not a curated record